RNAcentral lists this unclassified non-coding RNA (216 nucleotides) under uncultured fungus. Its description in RNAcentral is "sequence contains ITS1". The record is from RNAcentral. Lineage: Eukaryota; Fungi.
GUAUUUUGAAUUAAGUAAUUCGUAAUAUUUUUCAGACAAAAGUUGUUAAAAAAAAUGGUUGAUGUAUAAAAAUUCUUUUGAGCAGCCAAAAAAACGAAUUCUUUCGGCAUGCCACAAAACAAUUUAAACAAUGCACACAAGGUGGAUAUGGAUUUUUAAAAAGUGCCAUAAAACACUUUAUUAUGAAUGAUCCUUCCGCAGGUUCACCUACGGAAA